UACAGAGGUCUCAAGCGUUGUUCGGAUUCACUGGGCGUAAAGGGCGCGUAGGCGGCGCGGAUAGUCGGCGGUGAAAGCCCGGAGCUCAACUCCGGGUCGGCCGUCGAUACUUCCGGGCUUGAGCACUGUAGAGGCAGAUGGAAUUCCGGGUGUAGCGGUGGAAUGCGUAGAGAUCCGGAAGAACACCGGUGGCGAAGGCGGUCUGCUGGGCAGUUGCUGACGCUGAUGCGCGACAGCGUGGGGAGCAACAGG
RNAcentral lists this ribosomal RNA (252 nucleotides) under uncultured bacterium. RNAcentral describes it as "partial 16S ribosomal RNA". It matches the Rfam family "Bacterial small subunit ribosomal RNA", at positions 524 to 775 of the family's 1533-position model. The record is from RNAcentral.